This 494-nucleotide ribosomal RNA is filed under the name uncultured bacterium. RNAcentral's name for it is "bacterial SSU rRNA". It matches the Rfam family "Bacterial small subunit ribosomal RNA", at positions 8 to 521 of the family's 1533-position model. The record is from RNAcentral.
AGAGUUUGAUCCUGGCUCAGAGUGAACGCUGGCGGCGUGCCUAACACAUGCAAGUCGAACGAUGAUGGAGAGCUUGCUCUCCUGAUUAGUGGCGCACGGGUGAGUAUACCAUAGAUAAUGUACCCCUUAGUUCGGGAUAGCCACUGGAAACGGUGAUUAAUACCGGAUACUCCUUCUCAUUAUAAGAUGAGUCGGGAAAGUUUUUUCGCUAAGGGAUCAGUCUAUGUCCUAUCAGCUAGUUGGUGAGGUAAUGGCUCACCAAGGCUAUGACGGGUAUCUGGUUUGAGAGGAUGAUCAGACACACUGGAACUGAGACACGGUCCAGACUCCUACGGGAGGCAGCAGUGAGGAAUAUUGCACAAUGGAGGAAACUCUGAUGCAGCAACGCCGCGUGGAGGAUGACGCAUUUCGGUGUGUAAACUCCUUUUAAGAGGGAAGAUUAUGACGGUACCUCUUGAAUAAGCACCGGCUAACUCCGUGCCAGCAGCCGCGGU